Molecule: non-coding RNA, 45 nt
Filed under: Schistosoma mattheei
Lineage: Eukaryota; Metazoa; Platyhelminthes; Trematoda; Strigeidida; Schistosomatidae
Source: RNAcentral
AUCCAGUUGACGAGACCGAAAUAGGAUGAAACGCGCGUCCUGGAU